Molecule: ribosomal RNA, 433 nt
Filed under: uncultured bacterium
Lineage: Bacteria
Description: partial 16S ribosomal RNA
Rfam family: Bacterial small subunit ribosomal RNA
Source: RNAcentral
AACGAACGCUGGCGGCAGGCCUAACACAUGCAAGUCGAGCGCGCCCUUCGGGGUGAGCGGCGGACGGGUGAGUAACGCGUGGGAACGUGCCCUUCUCUGCGGAAUAGCCUCGGGAAACUGAGAGUAAUACCGCAUACGCCCUCUGGGGGAAAGAUUUAUCGGAGAAGGAUCGGCCCGCGUUGGAUUAGGUAGUUGGUGGGGUAAUGGCCCACCAAGCCGACGAUCCAUAGCUGGUCUGAGAGGAUGAUCAGCCACACUGGGACUGAGACACGGCCCAGACUCCUACGGGAGGCAGCAGUGGGGAAUCUUAGACAAUGGGGGCAACCCUGAUCUAGCCAUGCCGCGUGAGUGAUGAAGGCCUUAGGGUUGUAAAGCUCUUUCAGCUGGGAAGAUAAUGACGGUACCAGCAGAAGAAGCCCCGGCUAACUCCGUG